AUGUGCCACCCUACCACCCUGAACACACAGAUCUCAUCUGAUCCUGGAAGCUAAGCAGGUUUGGGUCUGGUUGGACCUUGGAUGGGAGAUCACCUGGGAAGACCAGGUUCUGUAGGUU
This 118-nucleotide ribosomal RNA is filed under the name Monodelphis domestica (gray short-tailed opossum). The record is from RNAcentral. Lineage: Eukaryota; Metazoa; Chordata; Mammalia; Didelphimorphia; Didelphidae.